This 679-nucleotide ribosomal RNA is filed under the name Fusarium sp. NRRL 31080. Its description in RNAcentral is "SSU rRNA". It matches the Rfam family "Bacterial small subunit ribosomal RNA", at positions 291 to 927 of the family's 1533-position model. Lineage: Eukaryota; Fungi; Ascomycota; Sordariomycetes; Hypocreales; Nectriaceae. The record is from RNAcentral.
GCCUAACGGCUGAACUGGCAACUUGGAGAAGUGGCAAGUCUUCCAGUAUGGGGAGCAAAACAGCUAUGGGUCAAGUCCGAUAUCUUUAGGAGAAGUCUUAUUGUGAGGGCGAGUUAUAUAACACCAUAGGACUGGCCGUCCCAUAUGAAAAGAUUAUAUUAGAAUUGAAUGAAGCUUUGUUUAUAUAUUGAUAAUGACAGUAUAUAUAUCGUGUCUUGACUAAUUGCGUGCCAGCAGUCGCGGUAAUACGUAAGAGACUAGUGUUAUUCAUCUUAAUUAGGUUUAAAGGGUACCCAGACGGUCAAUAUAGCUUAUAAAAUGUUAGUACUUGACUAGAGUUUUAUGUAAGAGGGCAGUACUUGAGGAGGAGAGAUGAAAUUUCGUGAUACCAAAGGGACUCUGUAAAGGCGAAGGCAGCCCUCUAUGUAAAAACUGACGUUGAAGGACGAAGGCACAGAGAACAAACAGGAUUAGAUACCCAAGUAGUCUUUGCAGUAAAUGAUGAAUGCCAUAGGUCAGAUAACCAGUUAAUGUUUAUAGUCUAAUAGGUUAGCCUAGCAAACUAAUGACAUAGACUAUCCAUUAAAAAUAUUUGGUCUAUAAAUGAAAGUGUAAGCAUUUCACCUCAAGAGUAAUGUGGCAACGCAGGAACUGAAAUCACUAGACCGUUUCUGACACC